GAUGAACGCUGGCGGCGUGCCUAAUACAUGCAAGUCGAGCGAACGGACGAGAAGCUUGCUUCUCUGAUGUUAGCGGCGGACGGGUGAGUAACACGUGGAUAACCUACCUAUAAGACUGGGAUAACUUCGGGAAACCGGAGCUAAUACCGGAUAAUAUUUUGAACCGCAUGGUUCAAAAGUGAAAGACGGUCUUGCUGUCACUUCUAGAUGGAUCCGCGCUGCAUUAGCUAGUUGGUAAGGUAACGGCUUACCAAGGCAACGAUGCAUAGCCGACCUGAGAGGGUGAUAGGCCACACUGGAACUGAGACACGGUCCAGACUCCUACGGGAGGCAGCAGUAGGGAAUCUUCCGCAAUGGGCGAAAGCCUGACGGAGCAACGCCGCGUGAGUGAUGAAGGUCUUCGGAUCGUAAAACUCUGUUAUUAGGGAAGAACAUAUGUGUAAGUAACUGUGCACAUCUUGACGGUACCUAAUCAGAAAGCCACGGCUAACUACGUG
This 497-nucleotide ribosomal RNA is filed under the name uncultured bacterium. RNAcentral describes it as "partial 16S ribosomal RNA". It matches the Rfam family "Bacterial small subunit ribosomal RNA", at positions 28 to 507 of the family's 1533-position model. The record is from RNAcentral.